Molecule: long non-coding RNA, 365 nt
Organism: Tachyglossus aculeatus (Australian echidna)
Lineage: Eukaryota; Metazoa; Chordata; Mammalia; Monotremata; Tachyglossidae
Exons: 4
Source: RefSeq, a predicted model, not a curated record
CGUGAGGGGACUUUUCCUCGCCACGAGGCGACGACGACGACCGGAGAGCGAAGCCCGGCCCUAUCGGGGGACCGAACGCCACAGGAUGACACAGGCAGGUUCAGGUUGAGUCCCAAGACUGGGCAGCAAGCAGGGCAUGAGAGAAAUGGGGGUCAGAAGAAAAUAAUUUUUCAGAGGGAGCUUCAUGUGCACUGAGUCAAAAAUGAAGCAACAUUCCCAAAGUCGUGCUGAUGGGCUUGCCCCUCCUUGGGUGGCUGGAUAUGCCUGCAGUAGUCUCAGCAACCUUUGUGUCAAUGUGGCUGUAACACUGAGGAGUAUGACUCGCUAUAGAGAAGACAAAAUAAAAUGCAACAAAAUAAUAAGCC